CAAUAGCGUAUAUUAAAGUUGUUGCAGUUAAAAAGCUCGUAGUUGGAUUUGUGGUGUGUCCAGUCGGCCUUUGCUCUCUGAGUGAUUGUGCUGUACUGGUCUGCCAUGUUUGGGUGGAAUCUGUGUGGCAUUAAGUUGUCGUACAGGGGAUGCCCAUCGUUUACUGUGAAAAAAUUAGAGUGUUCAAAGCAGGCUUAUGCCGUUGAAUAUAUUAGCAUGGAAUAAUGAUAUAGGACCUUGGUACUAUUUUGUUGGUUUGCGCACUAAGGUAAUGAUUAAGAGGGACAGUUGGGGGUAUUUGUAUUCCAUUGUCAGAGGUGAAAUUCUUAGAUUUUUGGAAGACAAACUACUGCGAAAGCAUUUACCAAGGAUGUUUUCAUUAA
Molecule: ribosomal RNA, 383 nt
Filed under: uncultured eukaryote
Lineage: Eukaryota
Description: partial 18S ribosomal RNA
Rfam family: Eukaryotic small subunit ribosomal RNA
Source: RNAcentral